Molecule: ribosomal RNA, 579 nt
Filed under: uncultured Gemmatimonadota bacterium
Lineage: Bacteria; Pseudomonadati; Gemmatimonadota
Description: bacterial SSU rRNA
Rfam family: Bacterial small subunit ribosomal RNA
Source: RNAcentral
CCUACGGGAGGCAGCAGUGGGGAGUAUUGCGCAAUGGCCGCAAGGCUGACGCAGCGACGCCGCGUGGGGGAUGAAGCAUUUCGGUGUGUAAACCCCUGUUGCCCGGGACGAACCUCUCCUUUCGAGGAGACUGACGGUACCGGGUGAGGAAGCACCGGCUAACUCCGUGCUAGCAGCCGCGGUAAUACGGAGGGUGCGAGCGUUGUCCGGAAUCACUGGGCGUAAAGGGCGCGUAGGCGGUGACUUAAGCGUGUGGUGAAAGCCCGGGGCUCAACCCCGGGUCGGCCGUGCGAACUGGGUCACUCGAGCACUGUAGAGGCAGGUGGAAUUCCGGGUGUAGCGGUGGAAUGCGUAGAGAUCCGGAAGAACACCAGUGGCGAAGGCGGCCUGCUGGGCAGUAGCUGACGCUGAGGCGCGACAGCGUGGGGAGCAAACAGGAUUAGAUACCCUGGUAGUCCACGCCGUAAACGAUGGGCACUAGGUGCUUGGGGGAACGACCCCCCGAGUGCCGGCGCUAACGCAUUAAGUGCCCCGCCUGGGGAGUACGGCCGCGAGGCUGAAACUCAAAGGAAUUGACGG